GAAAUGCGAUAAGUAAUGUGAAUUGCAGAAUUCAGUGAAUCAUCGAAUCUUUGAACGCACAUUGCGCCUAUUAGUAUUCUAGUAGGCAUGCCUGUUUGAGUAUCAUGAAAUCUUCAAAGUAAAUCUUUUGUUAACUCAAUUGGUUUCUACUUUGGUAUUGGAGGUCUUUGCAGCUUCACACCUGCUCCUCUUUGUUCAUUAGCUGGAUCUCAGUGUUAUGCUUGGUUCCACUCGGCGUGAUAAGUUAUCUAUCGCUGAGGACACUGUAAAAGGUGGCCAAGGUAAAUGCAGAUGAGCCGCUUCUAAUAGUCCAUUGACUUGGACAAUACUUUUAUGAUCUGAUCUCAAAUCAGGUAGGACUACCCGCUGAACUUAAGC
This 378-nucleotide unclassified non-coding RNA is filed under the name plant metagenome. Its description in RNAcentral is "partial contains 5.8S ribosomal RNA, internal transcribed spacer 2, and large subunit ribosomal RNA". The stretch from base 1 to 105 matches the Rfam family "5.8S ribosomal RNA", at positions 50 to 154 of the family's 154-position model. The record is from RNAcentral.